AGAGUUUGAUCAUGGCUCAGAACGAACGCUGGCGGCAGGCUUAACACAUGCAAGUCGAACGCAUCCUUCGGGGUGAGUGGCAGACGGGUGAGUAACGCGUGGGAACGUGCCCUUCAGUUCGGAAUAACCCAGGGAAACUUGGGCUAAUACCGGAUACGUGCGAGAGCAGAAAGAUUUAUCGCUGAAGGAUCGGCCCGCGUCUGAUUAGCUAGUUGGUGAGGUAAUGGCUCACCAAGGCGACGAUCAGUAGCUGGUCUGAGAGGAUGAUCAGCCACAUUGGGACUGAGACACGGCCCAAACUCCUACGGGAGGCAGCAGUGGGGAAUAUUGGACAAUGGGCGCAAGCCUGAUCCAGCCAUGCCGCGUGAGUGAUGAAGGCCUUAGGGUUGUAAAGCUCUUUCGUCCGGGACGAUAAUGACGGUACCGGAAGAAGAAGCCCCGGCUAACUUCGUGCCAGCAGCCGCGGUAAUACGAAGGGGGCUAGCGUUGUUCGGAAUCACUGGGCGUAAAGGGCGCGUAGGCGGCUUGAUAAGUCGGGGGUGAAAGCCUGUGGCUCAACCACAGAAUUGCCUUCGAUACUGUCUGGCUUGAGACCGGAAGAGGUAAGUGGAACUGCGAGUGUAGAGGUGAAAUUCGUAGAUAUUCGCAAGAACACCAGUGGCGAAGGCGGCUUACUGGUCCGGUUCUGACGCUGAGGCGCGAAAGCGUGGGGAGCAAACAGGAUUAGAUACCCCGGUAGUCC
This 742-nucleotide ribosomal RNA is filed under the name uncultured Microvirga sp. RNAcentral's name for it is "bacterial SSU rRNA". It matches the Rfam family "Bacterial small subunit ribosomal RNA", at positions 8 to 796 of the family's 1533-position model. The record is from RNAcentral. Lineage: Bacteria; Pseudomonadati; Pseudomonadota; Alphaproteobacteria; Hyphomicrobiales; Methylobacteriaceae.